AUAACCUGCCUCAUACAGGGGGAUAACAGUUAGAAAUGACUGCUAAUACCGCAUAAGCGCACAGAGAUGCAUGUCUCGGUGUGAAAAGCUGAGGCGGUAUGAGAUGGAUCCGCGUCUGAUUAGCUGGUUGGCGGGGUAGAGGCCCACCAAGGCGACGAUCAGUAGCCGACCUGAGAGGGUGGCCGGCCACAUUGGGACUGAGACACGGCCCAAACUCCUACGGGAGGCAGCAG
RNAcentral lists this ribosomal RNA (233 nucleotides) under uncultured bacterium. Its description in RNAcentral is "partial 16S ribosomal RNA". It matches the Rfam family "Bacterial small subunit ribosomal RNA", at positions 121 to 354 of the family's 1533-position model. The record is from RNAcentral.